RNAcentral lists this ribosomal RNA (390 nucleotides) under uncultured archaeon. RNAcentral's name for it is "bacterial SSU rRNA". It matches the Rfam family "Archaeal small subunit ribosomal RNA", at positions 331 to 721 of the family's 1478-position model. The record is from RNAcentral.
UGCAGCAGGCGCGAAACCUUUACACUGCACGACAGUGCGAUAGGGGGAUCCCAAGUGCACAGGCAUAGCGCCUGUGCUUUUCGGUACCGUAAGGUGGUACCAGAAUAAGGGCUGGGCAAGACCGGUGCCAGCCGCCGCGGUAAUACCGGCAGCCCAAGUGAUGGCCGAUCUUAUUGGGCCUAAAGCGUCCGUAGCUGGCCGCGCAAGUCCAUCGGGAAAUCCACCUGCUCAACAGGUGGGCGCCCGGUAGAAACCGCGUGGCUUGGGACCGGAAGGCGCGACGGGUACGUCCGGGGUAGGAGUGAAAUCCCGUAAUCCUGGACGGACCGCCGAUGGCGAAAGCACGUCGCGAAGACGGAUCCGACAGUUCGCCCGAAAGUCACCGUCUCC